Molecule: long non-coding RNA, 958 nt
Organism: Stomoxys calcitrans (stable fly)
Lineage: Eukaryota; Metazoa; Arthropoda; Insecta; Diptera; Muscidae
Exons: 7
Source: RefSeq, a predicted model, not a curated record
UUGGGCUGCCGCAACUUUAAAAUACGAACAAACAAUUUCUGAUCGCCGGUUUUUCUUCUGUUGCAAGCAAAAGUGAUAAAAAAGGAUUUUUCGCGGAAAAUAUACAUUUAAAAGUUUGUGUUUUUUAAAAAAGUGUUUGUGAACUGAUUGUUGGUAUUAGAAAAAGUGUAUAAACCGUGAAAAUAGUGUUUUGAAAAGAUCUAUGCCCGCAAUGGCGGCAAUAAGAUUGAAUACAAAAUAUAACAGUUCCGGCAUGUUUCGUAUUAAGUGAUUUCGAGAGCAGUUAAAUCAAAAGCUUUAACUUCAAUCGCAUUUGUCUUUACAAUGUCCAAUUACGCUGUAGAUGAUCAAAUUUCUUAACACGAAAAUGCAAAAGCAAGUAGUAGAAAUCAUGUUAGUCAAGAUGGAGUUUGCAUGCCCAAAUCCUACGAAGCGAAAUUAAAGAACUUGCCGAAACUGCAAUAUAAUCUACAAUACUUCAUGAAACUCCCUUAGAACGAUCUUCUGUCGCAUUAUACCCCCCUAUGUUCCACGAGGAAUUGUAAUCCUGCUAGUUCAACAAUGAGAGGAAGCUGAUUUAUCAUGGUUCAUAUUCACAUCACCCUGGGGGAAUGUAGAAUAAAGAAUGUAGAAAUAAUAAAAUAAAAAGCAAGUAACAAAGAUCUAGAAAAAUAAAAAAAAGAAAAGUUAUUUAUAUUAUAUAUAUAUUUAUAUUUGUAAAGAAAAAAGUAUAAAAAUCAAUUUCAAAAUAAUAAAAAGUUAUAUUAAAAAAAUAUAUUUAAAUAUGUAACCUAAGUAAAAAAUUGUAAAAGAGUAUUUCAGCCGGGCAGAACUCAAGAUACUCACCGUCAUAGACACUUAUCCAAUAUCGAUAUUGAUUUAUUUUCUUUAUUUCAAUUAAUUACUUCAUAUAAUAACAAAUAAUGAGUAUUUUUAAUAAAGAAACUGUAUAUUGUCA